GACGUAACGCGUGGCGGCGCGCCUAACACAUGCAAGUCGAACGAGCGAGAGAGAGCUUGCUUUCUCGAGCGAGUGGCGAACGGGUGAGUAACGCGUGAGGAACCUGCCUCAAAGAGGGGACAACAGUUGGGAAACGACUGCUAAUACCGCAUAAGCCCACGACCCGGCACUCGGGUUGAGGGAAAAGGAGCAAUCCGCUUUGAGAUGGCCUCGCGUCCGGUUAGCUAGUUGGUGAGGUAACGGCCCACCAAGGCAACGAUCGGUAGCCGGACUGAGAGGUUGACCGGCCACAUUGGGACUGAGACACGGCCCAG
RNAcentral lists this ribosomal RNA (314 nucleotides) under uncultured bacterium. RNAcentral's name for it is "bacterial SSU rRNA". It matches the Rfam family "Bacterial small subunit ribosomal RNA", at positions 37 to 334 of the family's 1533-position model. The record is from RNAcentral.